AAGAGCCCGUUGUGAACUUUUGGGUACCCAACCCCUUGCGCGCCUUCCCUAGCUAACAAAAGUAAUAUAAGUCAGAGUAUUAUGUUAUCAGUACAAUCUUUUGCAAUACCUGUUUUAAAAAAAAGAAGUGGCGGGCUGCUUGGAAUACUUCUGCCGCCAUGUACAGUCUAGUGCGCUUAUAGGAGGAACGCAUGUGGCAGUGACGUCACAGACAAGUUCUUUGCCGACAGGCGGGACAGACUCUGAGGAUGUUAAAGUUGUUGCGAAGGCCGGGGAAAACGCAACUCUGCCCUUUGGGUUACCAAAACACCUGCAAGGAACACCUGUUGAAAACCUGGUUGUUAAGUGGAGUAGUCUAAAACAAAUGGCCCUCUGUAGCCAUCAGAAUGGUAGUUUUCUUUGUAAAGAGAAUGUCAGAGGCAGAAUAAAGAUGGUACACUUGGACCUUGUUAUUACAAACGUUUCAAUCCGCGAUCAGGGCAUGUAUUACUACAAAGUACGAGGAGGCAGUACUACACAUCAUGUCAUGCUGGUUGUGGAAAACAGUACAAGCACUCCAACCAGCUUCCCGACUUUAGACAAUCGUACAACCCUUCAACCUGACCAGACAAGCACCGCAGCCACAAACACAACAGACUCAAACUCUACUAAGAACAACAUUCCUUGGUCUGUUGCAGGAUAUAUUACAGGAGCAGUAGCAGGAGCAGUAGCAGUAGCAGUGGUAGUAGUAUGCUACAUGAAGUUCUUUUAUAAAGAAGUUAUUUUAUAAACCAAAAGAAGGUUGUUAAACCUAUGGAAGACAACAGCGACCACCCUGCCAAUGGACAUCAUCUUACUGCGAGGGACGCUCCAUUAGAAGAGAAUCUGCACGCUGAAGAAAUUCCAGUCUAAUAAGAAACUGAUACAAAUCUGAAGAUUUUUCAAAGGGGGUGGGCUUUAUUUAAACAUGCUGGUUUCUUAAGCUGCAUUACACCAGCUCUGUGAACACUUAAGUUAUCAGUGAAAGCUGUGAAAUCUGUCUUGAGCUGACGGGAAAAACUAUUUAAGCUUGCCCAACCCCCAAAAAGCAAGCUGUAUUUGUGUGAGGGGAAAGAAGCACUUUUUAAGGGAGUAGUAAUACUAGCCACUUUAUGAAAAAAUACGAGUUUGUCUCGUUACCUUUUCUCUGUUGUGCAUUUGCAUUAGUGGUCUUUUCUGUUUUUUUAAUUUCGGAGCCUAGACACCAAUGAUGUGAUCUCUGUCAGGGAUGUCUCAUGUCAAUAAGCCAUGGGGGCAAUCAAAUCAGUCUUUCUGAGCAUUGUCAUUGAAUAAGGCUAGCCACUAGCAACACAACAUUUGUAUAACUACAUGCUAACAUUGAUGAUACACUUCAAAACACAGGAAAUGCAUCUAACAGCGUGUAUUCUGAAGUAGAAUAGGACAAGAUUAGAGGAAGAUUAGAUUAGAGGAGUCUUGUACUUGACUGUACAUUGAAUAUGCUUGUCAAACUUGGUUUCUUCUUCCAGUCUUUACCUGUAAAGCUGUACUUUAUUUAUUUUUAAAAUUUAGACAAAAUUAUUAGAUCCUAUAGUUAAAGACCAAGGCUUAAACUGGCAGUUCUCCAGGAACCAAAGGUCUGCCUGUGCCAGUAUAUUUCUACCUUGUAGCUCUGACUGGUCUAUUGGCAUUCCUGAAUUACACUGAUAUAAUUGCCAUUUACUUAUAUGUGUCUUUUGUAAUUGUAUACUUUUUGUGCAAUGUAUAAAUUAAAGGAAUAAAAACCUGAAUGGAAGGAUAUUUAAAAAAAAAUAAAAACAA
RNA transcript from Polyodon spathula (Mississippi paddlefish), 1797 nucleotides. RefSeq lists it as uncharacterized. The transcript is spliced from 6 exons. The record is from RefSeq and is a predicted model, not a curated record. Lineage: Eukaryota; Metazoa; Chordata; Actinopteri; Acipenseriformes; Polyodontidae.